This is a long non-coding RNA of Manis javanica (Malayan pangolin), 459 nucleotides long. RefSeq lists it as uncharacterized. NCBI's taxonomy places the organism in Eukaryota, Metazoa, Chordata, Mammalia, Pholidota, Manidae. The record is from RefSeq and is a predicted model, not a curated record.
GGGCUCAAAAUGGUGGAGUAGGAAGGCAAGACAGAAUCUCCUUCCACACACACUCAAAGGAAGCAAAUACAACUAAAACUGAAAACAAACUGAAGACUGCAGAACAGACCACCUAUACCUGGAAGAGAAGACCAUACAGAAACAGGUCUGAAAGCUGAAAGUCCAAGAUCAGGAGAACAGCACAAUCAGGUGAUCCAGCCUCUGACACAAAAAGGAAACAGAAGCCAUUAACCAAAAGCUCCAACUUCCCUGUCCUCCUCUGUCCUGCUGUCUACAGUGUGAUAAUGAACGGUACUCAGGAAAUCCGUAGUUCUGCAAGAGAAGAAUCCUGUGUGUUGGUUAAAGGGAAAAACCCUGCCAAGAAAUCUGGAAGUGGAGAGGGGGAAAGUUAAUCAUCCCAACAACCAGACUGAGAUGUUUCCUUCCCUUUAGCAAAGUCAGCUCUCAGCAAGAGUUUAA